This 253-nucleotide ribosomal RNA is filed under the name uncultured bacterium. RNAcentral's name for it is "partial 16S ribosomal RNA". It matches the Rfam family "Bacterial small subunit ribosomal RNA", at positions 524 to 776 of the family's 1533-position model. The record is from RNAcentral.
UACGGAGGGAGCUAGCGUUGUUCGGAAUUACUGGGCGUAAAGCGCGCGUAGGCGGCUUUGUAAGUUAGAGGUGAAAGCCCGGGGCUCAACCCCGGAACUGCCUUUAAGACUGCAUCGCUUGAAUCCGGGAGAGGUGAGUGGAAUUCCGAGUGUAGAGGUGAAAUUCGUAGAUAUUCGGAAGAACACCAGUGGCGAAGGCGGCUCACUGGCCCGAUACUGACGCUGAGGCACGAAAGCGUGGGGAGCAAACAGG